Molecule: non-coding RNA, 120 nt
Filed under: Evansella cellulosilytica
Lineage: Bacteria; Bacillati; Bacillota; Bacilli; Caryophanales; Bacillaceae
Also listed under: 1 other name
Description: Bacillus cellulosilyticus SAM-I sequence
Rfam family: SAM riboswitch aptamer (S box leader)
About the family: The SAM riboswitch is found upstream of a number of genes which code for proteins involved in methionine or cysteine biosynthesis in Gram-positive bacteria. The SAM riboswitch acts at the level of transcription termination control. The predicted structure consists of a complex stem-loop region followed by a single stem loop terminator region.
Source: RNAcentral
CUCUUAUCCUGAGAUGGCGGAGGGACAGGCCCAAAGAAGCCCAGCAACCAUCACCGUGUUGACAAGGUGAACGGUGCUAACCUGCAGGACAUGUAUUUUGCGUGUCUUGACCGAUAAGAG